Molecule: ribosomal RNA, 443 nt
Filed under: uncultured bacterium
Lineage: Bacteria
Description: partial 16S ribosomal RNA
Rfam family: Bacterial small subunit ribosomal RNA
Source: RNAcentral
CCUACGGGUGGCAGCAGUGGGGAAUAUUGGGCAAUGGGCGCAAGCCUGACCCAGCAACGCCGCGUGAAGGAAGAAGGCUUUCGGGUUGUAAACUUCUUUUCACAGGGACGAAGCAAGUGACGGUACCUGAGGAAUAAGCCACGGCUAACUACUUGCCAGCAGCCGCGGUAAUACGUAGGUCGCGAGCGUUAUGCGGAUUUGCUGGGUGUAAAGGGCGUGUAGGCGGGGAGGUAAGUCAGAUGUGAAGACCACGGGCUCAACCGUUGGCUUGCAUUUGAAACUGUGUUUCUUGAGUACUGUAGAGGUAGACGGAAUUCCUAGUGUAGCGGUGAAAUGCGUAGAUAUUAGGAGGAACACCAGUGGCGAAGGCGGUCUACUGGACAGCAACUGACGCUGAGGCGCGAAAGCGUGGGGAGCAAACAGGAUUAGAUACCCGUGUAGUC